CGUAGGGGGCAAGCGUUGUCCGGAUUUAUUGGGCGUAAAGCGCGUGUAGGCGGCCAUACAGGUCCGUUGUGAAAACUCGAGGCUCAACCUCGAGACGUCGAUGGAAACCGUAUGGCUAGAGUCCGGAAGAGGAGAGCGGAAUUCCUGGUGUAGCGGUGAAAUGCGCAGAUAUCAGGAAGAACACCCGUGGCGAAGGCGGCUCUCUGGGACGGUACUGACGCUGAGACGCGAAAGCGUGGGGAGCGAACAGGAUUAGAUACCCUGGUAGUCCACGCCGUAAACGAUGGGUGCUAGGUGUGGGGGGUGUCGACUCCCUCCGUGCCGCAGCUAACGCAUUAAGCACCCCGCCUGGGGAGUACGGCCGCAAGGCUA
Molecule: ribosomal RNA, 372 nt
Filed under: uncultured organism
Description: bacterial SSU rRNA
Rfam family: Bacterial small subunit ribosomal RNA
Source: RNAcentral